UACGCUCCGGCUGCUGGUGGUUCGCCGGGUCUGUGGGGAUCCGGCGAGGCAAGAGGGAACCCGGUGCGAAUCCGGGACUGCCCCGCAGCGGUGAGCGGGAACGACCGCCGUCAUCGAGCACUGGACGCGCCGCGUCCGGGAAGCGACGGCCAGUAGGUCCGCCGGAUAUCCCGGCGGGUGCCCGCGAGUCCGAAGACCUGCCACCGGUCCUUGCGCCGC
RNAcentral lists this non-coding RNA (219 nucleotides) under Streptomyces sp. Lineage: Bacteria; Bacillati; Actinomycetota; Actinomycetes; Kitasatosporales; Streptomycetaceae. The record is from RNAcentral.